This 253-nucleotide ribosomal RNA is filed under the name uncultured bacterium. RNAcentral's name for it is "partial 16S ribosomal RNA". It matches the Rfam family "Bacterial small subunit ribosomal RNA", at positions 524 to 776 of the family's 1533-position model. The record is from RNAcentral.
UACGUAGGGGGCAAGCGUUGUCCGGAAUUAUUGGGCGUAAAGAGCGUGUAGGCGGUCCGGUAAGUCAGCUGUGAAAGUCAAGGGCUCAACCCUUGAAAGCCGGUUGAUACUGUCGGGCUAGAGUCCGGAAGAGGCGAGUGGAAUUCCCGGUGUAGCGGUGAAAUGCGCAGAUAUCGGGAGGAACACCAAUGGCGAAGGCAGCUCGCUGGGACGUUACUGACACUGAGGCGCGAAAGCGUGGGGAGCGAACAGG